This 1359-nucleotide ribosomal RNA is filed under the name metagenome. RNAcentral's name for it is "bacterial SSU rRNA". It matches the Rfam family "Eukaryotic small subunit ribosomal RNA", at positions 603 to 1720 of the family's 1831-position model. The record is from RNAcentral.
ACAAACAUUGUUGCUGUUAAAACGCUCGUAGUUGGAUUCUGAGUUGGAGGCCGCCAUGGAGCCUGGUGUUUGGUGGCAAUCCUUUGCUGGUUAUGCUAGCAUUGGGUCGCUAACACUAUGGAUCUAACUCCUGGCUUUGACCUCCACUCAAAGCAGAUGGGAUCGGUUUGCCUGUGGAUGCCUCCUUUACUGGUGGUGGAUACAACUAUGCGUAAAACAUGAGCACGGCUCGUCCAUCGAAUGUUACUCUGAGCAAAUCAGCGUGUCCAAAGCAGCCGCCUGUUCGGCUGAAUGCUCUAGCAUGGAAUAACAAGGCGCCGGCCUCUUGACCGGCUUUUUGUUGGCUUUCUUGGUCUUUUGAGGAUAGCUCAGGGCAAGUUAUUCAUGGUAGUUCUCGAGGCAGACGCUUUUCGCUUCUGUCUCUCCUGCACAUGAAGCUUGUCUCUUUCGGCGAUAAUGGGAUCAACCGGGGCAGUACGGAUCACCAUGUCAGCGGUGAAAUGCUCAGACCAUGGUGGGACGAACUAAUGCAAAGGCAUUCUGCCAGGAUGUUUUCAUCAAUCAAGAACGAGAGUGUGGGGUUCGAAGAUGAUCAGAUACCAUCGUAGUCCAUACCCGUAAACCAUACCGACUCGGCAUCGGGAAUUCGUUCACUUUACGACUUUCCCGGUGUCUUCCCCCAAUACCGAGAAAUCCAAGUCUAUGGGUUCAGGGGGAAGUAUGGUCGCAAGGCUGAAACUUAAAGGAAUUGACGGAAUGACACCACAAGGCGUGGAGUAUGCGGCUUAAUUUGACCCAACACGAGGAAUCCUACCAGGUCAGGACUCAGCCAGGAUUGACAGACUGAGAGCUCUUUCUCGAUUCUCAGAAUGGUGGUGCAUGGCCGUUUUUGGUUCGUGGUGUGAACUGUCUGCUUAAUUGCGAUAACGAACGAGAUCUCCUCCACUAACUAGGCGCUGAUCUCGUAUAUAGGUAGGGAGGCGUUUGGAUGCCUUAGGGUACUCCUGUCUCCUGAGAGGUCAGCUCGCUUCUUAGUGGGACUGUGCAUGUGCCUAAUGCACGUAAGAAGGAGCCAAUAGCAGGUCUGUGAUGCUCUUAGAUGUCUUGGGCUGCACGCGCACUACACUGGUGCAGUGAACGAGUUGUACCUCCAUUUGGAGUCCUGCUCAGAACUGAGCGUGGGAAAUCUUGUGAAACUGACGCCGUGGUUGGGAUCGGUGAUUGCAAUUAUUGACCUUGAACGAGGAAUGCCUAGUAGAGCUACUUCAUCAGAGUAGCUUGAUUUCGUCCCUGCCAUUUGUACACACCGCCCGUCGUUGCUACCGAUCCGGUGGGGAAAUAGAGGCCUCAAGAGCUGCA